AUUGAACGCUAGCGGGAUGCUUUACACAUGCAAGUCGAACGAGUGGCGGACGGGUGAGUAAUAUAUCGGAACGUGCCCAGUAGCGGGGGAUAACUACUCGAAAGAGUGGCUAAUACCCCAUACCAUUGGAUGGGCCGAAAUGGGAUUGGCUAGUUGGUGGGGUAACGGCUCACCAAGGCAACGAUCCGUAGCUGGUUUGAGAGGACGACCAGCCACACUGGGACUGAGACACGGUCCAGACUCCUACGGGAGGCAGCAGUGGGGAAUUUUGGACAAUGGGGGAAACCCUGAUGCAGCCAUCCCGCGUGUAUGAGAAGGCCUUCGGGUUGUAAAGUACUUUUGGCAGAGAAGCGGUACCUGCAGAAUAAGCACCGGCUAACUACGUGCCAGCAGCCGCGGUAAUAC
RNAcentral lists this ribosomal RNA (405 nucleotides) under uncultured bacterium. Its description in RNAcentral is "partial 16S ribosomal RNA". It matches the Rfam family "Bacterial small subunit ribosomal RNA", at positions 30 to 526 of the family's 1533-position model. The record is from RNAcentral.